RNAcentral lists this ribosomal RNA (1566 nucleotides) under Escherichia coli. RNAcentral's name for it is "partial 23S ribosomal RNA". It matches the Rfam family "Bacterial large subunit ribosomal RNA", at positions 1 to 1602 of the family's 2925-position model. The record is from RNAcentral. Lineage: Bacteria; Pseudomonadati; Pseudomonadota; Gammaproteobacteria; Enterobacterales; Enterobacteriaceae.
GGGUUGUGAGGUUAAGCGACUAAGCGUACACGGUGGAUGCCCUGGCAGUCAGAGGCGAUGAAGGACGUGCUAAUCUGCGAUAAGCGUCGGUGAGGUGAUAUGAACCGUUAUAACCGGCGAUUUCCGAAUGGGGAAACCCAGUGUGUUUCGACACACUAUCAUUAACUGAAUCCAUAGGUUAAUGAGGCGAACCGGGGGAACUGAAACAUCUAAGUACCCCGAGGAAAAGAAAUCAACCGAGAUUCCCCCAGUAGCGGCGAGCGAACGGGGAGGAGCCCAGAGCCUGAAUCAGUGUGUGUGUUAGUGGAAGCGUCUGGAAAGGCGCGCGAUACAGGGUGACAGCCCCGUACACAAAAAUGCACAUAUUGUGAGCUCGAUGAGUAGGGCGGGACACGUGGUAUCCUGUCUGAAUAUGGGGGGACCAUCCUCCAAGGCUAAAUACUCCUGACUGACCGAUAGUGAACCAGUACCGUGAGGGAAAGGCGAAAAGAACCCCGGCGAGGGGAGUGAAAAAGAACCUGAAACCGUGUACGUACAAGCAGUGGGAGCCUCUUAAUGGGGUGACUGCGUACCUUUUGUAUAAUGGGUCAGCGACUUAUAUUCUGUAGCAAGGUUAACCGAAUAGGGGAGCCGAAGGGAAACCGAGUCUUAACUGGGCGUUAAGUUGCAGGGUAUAGACCCGAAACCCGGUGAUCUAGCCAUGGGCAGGUUGAAGGUUGGGUAACACUAACUGGAGGACCGAACCGACUAAUGUUGAAAAAUUAGCGGAUGACUUGUGGCUGGGGGUGAAAGGCCAAUCAAACCGGGAGAUAGCUGGUUCUCCCCGAAAGCUAUUUAGGUAGCGCCUCGUGAAUUCAUCUCCGGGGGUAGAGCACUGUUUCGGCAAGGGGGUCAUCCCGACUUACCAACCCGAUGCAAACUGCGAAUACCGGAGAAUGUUAUCACGGGAGACACACGGCGGGUGCUAACGUCCGUCGUGAAGAGGGAAACAACCCAGACCGCCAGCUAAGGUCCCAAAGUCAUGGUUAAGUGGGAAACGAUGUGGGAAGGCCCAGACAGCCAGGAUGUUGGCUUAGAAGCAGCCAUCAUUUAAAGAAAGCGUAAUAGCUCACUGGUCGAGUCGGCCUGCGCGGAAGAUGUAACGGGGCUAAACCAUGCACCGAAGCUGCGGCAGCGACGCUUAUGCGUUGUUGGGUAGGGGAGCGUUCUGUAAGCCUGCGAAGGUGUGCUGUGAGGCAUGCUGGAGGUAUCAGAAGUGCGAAUGCUGACAUAAGUAACGAUAAAGCGGGUGAAAAGCCCGCUCGCCGGAAGACCAAGGGUUCCUGUCCAACGUUAAUCGGGGCAGGGUGAGUCGACCCCUAAGGCGAGGCCGAAAGGCGUAGUCGAUGGGAAACAGGUUAAUAUUCCUGUACUUGGUGUUACUGCGAAGGGGGGACGGAGAAGGCUAUGUUGGCCGGGCGACGGUUGUCCCGGUUUAAGCGUGUAGGCUGGUUUUCCAGGCAAAUCCGGAAAAUCAAGGCUGAGGCGUGAUGACGAGGCACUACGGUGCUGAAGCAACAAAUGCCC